This 524-nucleotide ribosomal RNA is filed under the name uncultured bacterium. Its description in RNAcentral is "bacterial SSU rRNA". It matches the Rfam family "Bacterial small subunit ribosomal RNA", at positions 1 to 523 of the family's 1533-position model. The record is from RNAcentral.
GGGGAGAGUUUGAUCCUGGCUCAGAUUGAACGCUGGCGGCAUGCCUUACACAUGCAAGUCGAACGGUAACAGGGAGCUUGCUCCGCUGACGAGUGGCGAACGGGUGAGUAAUGUAUCGGAACGUACCAUUCAGUGGGGGAUAACGUAGCGAAAGUUACGCUAAUACCGCAUAUUCUGUGAGCAGGAAAGCAGGGGAUCGCAAGACCUUGCGCUGAUUGAGCGGCCGAUAUCAGAUUAGCUAGUUGGUGAGGUAAAGGCUCACCAAGGCGACGAUCUGUAGCGGGUCUGAGAGGAUGAUCCGCCACACUGGAACUGAGACACGGUCCAGACUCCUACGGGAGGCAGCAGUGGGGAAUUUUGGACAAUGGGGGCAACCCUGAUCCAGCCAUGCCGCGUGAGUGAAGAAGGCCUUCGGGUUGUAAAGCUCUUUCGGCCGGGAAAAAAUCGCAUGGGUUAAUACCCUGUGUGGAUGAUGGUACCGGAAUAAGAAGCACCGGCUAACUACGUGCCAGCAGCCGCGGUAA